GACGAACGCUGGCGGCGUGCCUAACACAUGCAAGUCGAGCGGGAUCCAUCCAGUGGCAACACUGGGGAAGAUCUAGCGGCGAACGGGUGAGUAACACGUGAGAAACUUGCCCCGGAGUUCGGGAUAACUCGAGGAAACUCGAGCUAAUACCGAAUGCCCUCUUCUGAUCGCAUGGUCGGAUGAGGAAAGAUUUAUCGCUCCGGGAGAGUCUCGCGGCCUAUCAGCUAGUUGGCGGGGUAACGGCCCACCAAGGCAUCGACGGGUAGCUGGUCUGAGAGGACGAUCAGCCACACUGGGACUGAGACACGGCCCAGACUCCUACGGGAGGCAGCAGUGGGGAAUCUUGCGCAAUGGGCGAAAGCCUGACGCAGCAACGCCGCGUGCGGGAUGAAGGCCUUCGGGUUGUAAACCGCUUUCAGCAGGGAAGAAAUUGACGGUACCUGCAGAAGAAGCCCCGGCCAACUACGUGCCAGCCGCCGCAGUAA
RNAcentral lists this ribosomal RNA (485 nucleotides) under uncultured bacterium. RNAcentral describes it as "partial 16S ribosomal RNA". It matches the Rfam family "Bacterial small subunit ribosomal RNA", at positions 28 to 523 of the family's 1533-position model. The record is from RNAcentral.